GACGAACGCUGGCGGCGUGCUUAACACAUGCAAGUCGAACGGAAAGGCCCUGCUUUUGUGGGGUGCUCGAGUGGCGAACGGGUGAGUAACACGUGAGUAACCUGUCCUUGACUUUGGGAUAACUUCAGGAAACUGGGGCUAAUACCGGAUAGGAGCUCCUGCUGCAUGGUGGGGGUUGGAAAGUUUCGGCGGUUGGGGAUGGACUCGCGGCUUAUCAGCUUGUUGGUGGGGUAGUGGCUUACCAAGGCUUUGACGGGUGGCCGGCCUGAGAGGGUGACCGGCCACAUUGGGACUGAGAUACGGCCCAGACUCCUACGGGAGGCAGCAGUGGGGAAUAUUGCACAAUGGGCGGAAGCCUGAUGCAGCAACGCCGCGUGCGGGAUGACGGCCUUCGGGUUGUAAACCGCUUUCGCCUGUGACGAAGCGUGAGUGACGGUAAUGGGUAAAGAAGCACCGGCUAACUACGUG
RNAcentral lists this ribosomal RNA (468 nucleotides) under uncultured bacterium. Its description in RNAcentral is "partial 16S ribosomal RNA". It matches the Rfam family "Bacterial small subunit ribosomal RNA", at positions 28 to 507 of the family's 1533-position model. The record is from RNAcentral.